Molecule: ribosomal RNA, 444 nt
Filed under: uncultured bacterium
Lineage: Bacteria
Description: partial 16S ribosomal RNA
Rfam family: Bacterial small subunit ribosomal RNA
Source: RNAcentral
CCUACGGGAGGCAGCAGUGGGGAAUAUUGGGCAAUGGAGGAAACUCUGACCCAGCAAUGCCGCGUGAAUGAAGAAGGUCUUCGGAUUGUAAAGUUCUUUAGUCAGGGAAGAAGUCAAUGACGGUAUCUGAAGAAUAAGCUCCGGUUAACUACGUGCCAGCAGCCGCGGUAAUACGUAGGGAGCAAGCGUCGUUCGGAAGGACUGGGCGUAAAGGGUGCGUAGGCGGUUGUACAAGUUAGAAGUGAAAUACCCAGGGCUUAACUCGGGUGCUGCUUCUAAAACUGUAUGACUUGAGUGCAGUAGAGGUGAGAGGAAUUCGUGGUGUAGCGGUGGAAUGCGUAGAUAUUAGGAGGAACACCAGAGGCGAAGGCAGCUAACUGGACUGCAACUGACGCUGAGGCACGAAAGUGUGGGUAUCAAACAGGAUUAGAUACCCGUGUAGUC